AUAUGAGAUUAAGAGAUCUUUAGAGUGAUUAGAAUAAAGAGAGUGUUUAGGAAGUGAUUAAGAGAAGUUUGUGAAAGAUUAAGAGACUAGAAAGAGCCGUUUAGAGUCUAAGAGAAAACCAUAGUCUAAGAGAUUAGAGAGACUCGAACUGAUUGAUCUUAUUAAUGAGUGAGGUUACAUAUUUAUAUAGAAAGCAUUAGGGUUUACAAGAGGUGAAAUGGGCACUAUUUGUUGAAAUGAAGAAGGGAAUGACCAGAAGAAGAAUCUGGUUCAUGAUCCAAGUUUGAUAUUGUAGAGGAAGUAAUCCGGAUACUUCAAGAUGAGACUAGUUCAUACAGACUUGUGAACCAAGUUAUGGUUAGAGUGGAGAAGGAAGAAGCAUGGCUGUGUGUGAUCCAUUGAUCUUAGAAAUAAAGAAGACAAAGAGAAGAAGAGAUACUUGAAAAGAUUCAGGUCUGGAAAACCUUGCUACACAAGGCAGUCCGUACAGUCUUGGCUACCAAGUUACCUAGAGUGACUUGGAUGGUAAGGCAGGUGAGGAACUCGUCCAGCUUGAUCUUCUGAAGCAGAUUUGAAGUUAAAAUGGAGCAUCAGACCGUUGGAGAGAGCUGAGACAAGUUGGGAAUUAAAUAGAGUAAAAGUCACAUGUGCAUAAGAGGAUGAACCUGUUGUCACUUUCACCCAACCAGGCUGUGCCCAUAUCUCUCUCCUGUCACUCUCUACUCCCUCUGGUCGAGAUUCACCUUGGCUGUACCUUCCUGGCUUCAUCAGAAAACCCUACAAUAUUAUUUGUUUAGUAAAACCCUGUUUUAGUAUUUGUUUAAUAUGUGUGCUUGUCUAUUUAAGACAAUGCUGUAUCUGAUUGUAAACUAAGGAGAGUAAAACUCUUUCUUCACAUACUCUGGUUACUAAACUCUCAGAUUCUCCUAUUCUCUCUAUUCUCUUGUCUCUCACGACCUCCAUUACUCCCUUAUACUCUAGCAUACUCAGAAACUCUCCCAAACACUUUAUACUCUCUUCACUCUCUCAUUACUUUCAAUUGCUCAUCAAUCACUCUCUCUGGUUUCAUACUGAACCAGAAGCUUAUUCCCAUCAUAUUCCUUUUAGUUCAUCUCAAUUCUUUCAUGGUAUCAGAGCCUCAAGCUCUUGAGAACCUAUAUUGCUUCCGCAAAUCAUCCCUGUCCAAAAUCUCUCUUUAAAAAUCUGUUCAAACAUGUUCGUUACAUCCUUUUAUCCUCUGGUCCAAAGGUUUUCCAGGAGGGAAAAACCUCACCAGAACUCAAGAUAAAGGAGUAUCUCAGUCUCUGGAACUCAAGAAAGUCUUAGCUCAGUUCAGCAAGCUUCAUCAAAGUCCAGUCUUUCAAAUCCUGUCCCUUUCAAACCAGUAGGAACAUCCUAUUAUCCACUGGUCCAAAAAAAAAAAAACUUCAAGAUGAUGAAUAUUCAAGCAUGGGCGAGUUCAGUGAAGCUCAAAACUCCAAACUACUCUUUCUGGGUCAGAAUGAUGAAGAAAAACCCUAGAGGCAAAGGUGUUUGGAGCCAUACUUCAGAUGAAGCUCCAUGGAAAAUCUGCAAGGUCUUUGCUCAUGUUAAUGAGAGGCAACCAGAAGCUCAGUCUCUGUCCAACAAAUCCUACUUCAAGUUGGAAGAGAAGAAAGGUCAGAAGAGUCAGCACUGCAAGGAAGGACUCACUAAGGAUAGGUGGUGGAUAUUCAAUCCACAUCUGAAACAAAUGUACUUUCAAUAAGCCCCCAUGGGCUGGAGAGUCAAGAAACCAGCUCAGGUUUCUUGAGAUUGUGGUGACAGGUUAUUAAAUGUUAUGUGAUGACCUUUACACAUCAAGCACAAGCUCAAAGCUCACACCCUCUUGAAGACUGCUCAAACCGACUUUCUCAAAUUUACUUCAAUAUGGAGUCAACAAAAGCCACAGUCAUUCUCAGGGUUCAUAUCUGAUCCCCUGGUCGUGUAUGAACCAAGAAGACCAGGAGGACAGGAGGGGAUCCAAGGGUGAGCUUUACAAACAGGGCGAAACACACAAGGAAAAGGAGUUGGGUAAUGAAUCCAAAACUCAAAUCCACCAAGCUCAGAUGAGUAGUGUGUAUAUGGAGGUUCAAGGACCCAGCCCAGGUUCCUUGGCUGUAAGUUAAACCUCCUAAACCUGAACAAUAGCUUGUGUAAUGUGUCUGGUCGGUUUUUUUUUUGAGUGAUGGUGUAGAGUCCAAUGGAUCAUGAUAAGUUGCUAGAAGUUGCAUUGUGUCUUAAUCUUAUCAUCUGUGGUUGUUUUUGUUCCUAGAAGUGUCUGCCUAGGUUGUCAUGCAUCCAUGAUAUAUUGAUAUUGAUUGGGAGUCCUUUAAUUGUCAUGUCUGCCUUGAGAUUGUUAAGUAUCUAGGAGUGUUCCUAGAUGUGUGGUGUAUUCAUGCUGUUGUUGAAAUUGAUUAGGUUAUUAGCCUAGUCUUCUUUAGCAUCUGGAUUGUCUUAAAAAUGCAUAUUGGAUUGUAUUAAAGAGGCAUACAUAUUGUUCCUGAUGCAUUCAUAUUGUUUCUAAAGCUGUCAUAGGAGGUGAUAAGCUGUUUUGCAAUCUAUUUUUAAGCAGUGGCGACCAGUCUUGAGUUUAUUCAAUGAUCUGGUCCCAUGCUGAUGUUACUGAUCCCUAUCUGAGUUGUAAUGGUGUGUAGGACACAGGAUGUGACUAUUAGACCAGAAGCAGCAACAGGAAAAGGGAUAUAACCAUGUUAAUCAGAGCCUGCACAAGAUGCAUAUUCCUGAACAUGGAGAAAAGAGACCAUGUUGUUCAGAGCCUACACUUGGUGUAUAUUACUGACCAUGGAGAGACAUCUUAUGAGUGGAAUCAGUUGGCUUAAGCGCAGGCGUAGGAGCUGUUGUGCUCCUGGUUCAAGAGACUCACAAGGAAGGCCAUCACCUAAGUCAUGAGGAGACUGGUGGUCCAAAGACAUUGGAGCUGAAGGCAAAUGGUGAUCCAGUUGGCUUAAGCGCAGAUGUUGGUAUUGUUGUGCUCCUGGAAGAUGGUGAACUGGUUGGCUUAAGCGCAGAUGUUGGUAUUGUUGUGCUCCCAGUUCAAAACUCAUUGAAGCUCACGUUCAAGCUUGUCACUAUACUCAGUCAAGCUUGAGGAGGGGAAUAUCAGUGAGCUACCAAAAGAUCCAUGAAGCUUACUGUAUCCAGUGUCCCAUUUCCUCAUAGAAGACCAGCAAGAGGUUGGCGAAUUAAAAGAGGACUUAAGUGAUCAGUCUGAAGAAGCUGUCACUCCUCACUGUUCUUACCAGCCAGAUGCAAGGAUUAUUCAAUCAGGGACAUUCUUGGCUAAGCAAUCACAUGAUGGUGGCAAAUUAUGGAGUUGCAAAGUCCCCCUACAUGUUGAAACUUCAAGAGAACAAUGCAAAGGCUGGGUGAGAGAAGGAAUGGCAUGGAGGAUUCAAGUGCUCUGCACUCCUCAUCAACAUUCCAGAAACUAAUGCAAGGGAAGUACCUAAAACCAUCCUUAUUCUUAUGUGAGAAUAGGUUUUCCCCUUGAGAAUUGAUACAUGCAUUCUUUGUAUGAUUGAAUCAGGUACCUAUUGAGCUCAUGAACAAAGACAAGCUUUGUCUCAACCCCUAAAUAGAGGCAAGAAGCCAGAAGAAAGGGGGAGACAAGCUCAGGUCAUAAGAAGAAGCUCAAAGGUGAUUUGAUGGUGAAGGAAUUGGCGCCAAUCCAAGUUUGCAAGUAGUGGAUUCACUCUUGCAUCACUCAGUACCAACCGUGUAAUUGAAGUUCCAUAAUCCGGACUGUGCCUUACCAAGUGGGGAUUCAAUUGGAGUCCACUCCUCACCAUUCUUAUAAAAGGGAAGCACCUUAAACUCAUCUCAAUACAUUCAUGAUUGUCCUUAUACUUAAAAUAUUAUUGAGGUUGAUAUGAUGAGUGCAUUUCCUUAAGAACUGAUGCACUUUUGAAAUGAUGUAUCAGGUACCAAAAUAAGCUUGAGCCUCACUGAAGAUGAUGAUGAUGAUCCGGUCAUGUCCUAGCCUUCCUAAGGUGGCUUGAAGCCAGUUGAGAGAGGGAGACCCUAAACCGGCCACAAAAUGAUCCAGCCGGCUACUUGUGCUCAAGGAUAGCAAGUUAUGGUGAUUCAUACUUGCUAUACCUAUUAGGCCACGAUCCAGAGCCUAAGGACUCCACCAUGAUGAAUCUGAAGUUCCUUAGGCUCACUGGCCAAUCCCUAAGCUUUGUAGAAACUCCACUCUUUUUCCCUUAGCAAGUUUUGUCCCAAUGGGUUUUCUUGCUAAGGUUUUUAAUGAGAGAGCUUCUUCAAGGUUCCAAGCUUGUCCAAGGAUCUCCUAUGGUCAAGCUUGAGGGGGAGUGUUGAAAUGAAGAAGGGAAUGACCAGAAGAAGAAUCUGGUUCAUGAUCCAAGUUUGAUAUUGUAGAGGAAGUAAUCCGGAUACUUCAAGAUGAGACUAGUUCAUACAGACUUGUGAACCAAGUUAUGGUUAGAGUGGAGAAGGAAGAAGCAUGGCUGUGUGUGAUCCAUUGAUCUUAGAAAUAAAGAAGACAAAGAGAAGAAGAGAUACUUGAAAAGAUUCAGGUUUGGAAAACCUUGCUACACAAGGCAGUCCGUACAGUCUUGGCUACCAAGUUACCUAGAGUGACUUGGAUGGUAAGGCAGGUGAGGAACUCGUCCAGCUUGAUCUUCUGAAGCAGAUUUGAAGUUAAAAUGGAGCAUCAGACCGUUGGAGAGAGCUGAGACAAGUUGGGAAUUAAAUAGAGUAAAAGUCACAUGUGCAUAAGAGGAUGAACCUGUUGUCACUUUCACCCAACCAGGCUGUGCCCAUAUCUCUCUCCUGUCACUCUCUACUCCCUCUGGUCGAGAUUCACCUUGGCUGUACCUUCCUGGCUUCAUCAGAAAACCCUACAAUAUUAUUUGUUUAGUAAAACCCUGUUUUAGUAUUUGUUUAAUAUGUGUGCUUGUCUAUUUAAGACAAUGCUGUAUCUGAUUGUAAACUAAGGAGAGUAAAACUCUUUCUUCACAUACUCUGGUUACUAAACUCUCAGAUUCUCCUAUUCUCUC
This is a long non-coding RNA of Brassica napus (rape), 5063 nucleotides long. RefSeq lists it as uncharacterized. The transcript has 2 exons. Lineage: Eukaryota; Viridiplantae; Streptophyta; Magnoliopsida; Brassicales; Brassicaceae. The record is from RefSeq and is a predicted model, not a curated record.